RNAcentral lists this ribosomal RNA (59 nucleotides) under Fascioloides magna. Its description in RNAcentral is "partial 28S ribosomal RNA". It matches the Rfam family "Eukaryotic large subunit ribosomal RNA", at positions 1 to 58 of the family's 3401-position model. Lineage: Eukaryota; Metazoa; Platyhelminthes; Trematoda; Plagiorchiida; Fasciolidae. The record is from RNAcentral.
CUGACCUCGGUUCAGACGUGAUUACCCGCUGAACUUAAGCAUAUCACUAAGCGGAGGAA